This 482-nucleotide ribosomal RNA is filed under the name uncultured bacterium. RNAcentral's name for it is "partial 16S ribosomal RNA". It matches the Rfam family "Bacterial small subunit ribosomal RNA", at positions 30 to 507 of the family's 1533-position model. The record is from RNAcentral.
AUUGAACGCUGGCGGCAUGCUUUACACAUGCCAGUCGAACGGUAACAGGCCGCAAGGUGCUGACGAGUGGCGAACGGGUGAGUAAUGCAUCGGAACGUGCCCAGUCGUGGGGGAUAACUACUCGAAAGAGUAGCUAAUACCGCAUACGAUCUAUGGAUGAAAGCGGGGGACCGUAAGGCCUCGCGCGAUUGGAGCGGCCGAUGUCAGAUUAGGUAGUUGGUGGGGUAAAGGCUCACCAAGCCAACGAUCUGUAGCUGGUCUGAGAGGACGACCAGCCACACUGGGACUGAGACACGGCCCAGACUCCUACGGGAGGCAGCAGUGGGGAAUUUUGGACAAUGGGCGCAAGCCUGAUCCAGCAAUGCCGCGUGCAGGAAGAAGGCCUUCGGGUUGUAAACUGCUUUUGUACGGAACGAAACGGCUCUGGUUAAUACCCGGGGCUAAUGACGGUACCGUAAGAAGAAGCACCGGCUAACUACGUG